This 842-nucleotide ribosomal RNA is filed under the name uncultured bacterium. RNAcentral's name for it is "bacterial SSU rRNA". It matches the Rfam family "Bacterial small subunit ribosomal RNA", at positions 544 to 1385 of the family's 1533-position model. The record is from RNAcentral.
UCCGGAAUUAUUGGGCGUAAAGCGCGCGCAGGCGGAUCAGUCAGUCUNUCUUAAAAGUUCGGGGCUUAACCCCGUGAUGGGAUGGAAACUGCUGAUCUAGAGUAUNGGAGAGGAAAGUGGAAUUCCUAGUGUAGCGGUGAAAUGCGUAGAUAUUAGGAAGAACACCAGUGGCGAAGGCGACUUUCUGGACGAAAACUGACGCUGAGGCGCGAAAGCCAGGGGAGCGAGCGGGAUUAGAUACCCCGGUAGUCCUGGCCGUAAACGAUGGGUACUAGGUGUAGGAGGUAUCGACCCCUUCUGUGCCGGAGUUAACGCAAUAAGUACCCCGCCUGGGGAGUACGACCGCAAGGUUGAAACUCAAAGGAAUUGACGGGGGCCCGCACAAGCGGUGGAGUAUGUGGUUUAAUUCGACGCAACGCGAAGAACCUUACCAGGUCUUGACAUUGAUGGACAGAACCAGAGAUGGUUCCUCUUCUUCGGAAGCCAGAAAACAGGUGGUGCACGGUUGUCGUCAGCUCGUGUCGUGAGAUGUUGGGUUAAGUCCCGCAACGAGAGCAACCCCUAUCUUAUGUUGCCAGCACUUUGGGUGGGGACUCAUGAGAGACUGCCGCAGACAAUGCGGAGGAAGGCGGGGAUGAUGUCAAAUCAUCAUGCCCCUUAUGACCUGGGCUACACACGUACUACAAUGGGAGUUAAUAGACGGAAGCGAGAUCGCGAGAUGGAGCAAACCCGAGAAACACUCUCUCAGUUCGGAUCGUAGGCUGCAACUCGCCUACGUGAAGUCGGAAUCGCUAGUAAUCGCAGGUCAGCAUACUGCGGUGAAUACGAUCCCGGGCCUUGCA